Molecule: long non-coding RNA, 1404 nt
Filed under: Capra hircus (goat)
Lineage: Eukaryota; Metazoa; Chordata; Mammalia; Artiodactyla; Bovidae
Description: lncRNA (ENSCHIG00010021981.1)
Source: RNAcentral
UGUAGGAUCACUGCAAUUUGUAGACAAAAGGCAUUUUUUCAUUUGUCCACAGGGUUGGUUGCUGCAGGUUCCAUUUUACUGUGUCUCAUUAUUAAGAAGCCUUUUGUUAUCCAGUCUUUUCUAUAUCAACUUCCAACUGCAUCAAAUCCCCAUUUAAAUACACUUCAAUACAUUGAAACGAGUUAUAGAACAACCAACCAUGAUUCAGAGAACAGAAAAAGAACAAUUAAGAAGGUAUACUUAGUACACAAGUUCAAAAUGACCCUUACUCAGCAAGAAAAGAUUAUAAAAAACAUGUACAAGGGAGAGAGAAGUGAGAUACACAAAAAUAUCACAUCAUUUUCAGUACCCUUCCUUCAUUCCAAAGGCGUUCCAAAGUCUUCUCCCUUCUCGCCAAGGAGCUCUUAUCAACUUAAUUUUCCUAGCCACACUAGACAACUUCUCUUGCGUAUCAAUACCUCUUGACAGCUCUUCUGAAUAAAGUCUGAGAACAAUGUGCUUACAGUGGCAUAUCUGACAGGGAAAAAUGACUCUUUAUUGCUGAUUAAUAUAAAGGAGAGCUUCUGAGCAUGGAACAUUUCUAAGGGUGCUAUUGGAUAAAUUCCUCCAAGGUACUCUGGCAAAGCUGUUCCAAGAGUUCUGUAUUAUUUUAGGGAUACCAUGUAACGAAGUAGAAACAGUAGUUAAUUUAAGACAAGGAGAACUAGACCUGCAUUUUGGUUCUGCCAUAGUACUGGUCAAUCCCCCUAGAAAUUCAAUUUCUUCAACUAUAAAACAGAUAAUCUUAAGAAUUUCAGAGAAUUUUUAUGGUGAUUCAAAGAAAACACAGUAAUCUACCUAACCAAAAAAGAACUUGCAUAUUUCAGGCACCAAAAAAAUAAGUGGUAGUUAUUCUCACUGAAACACUGUAACUGGGACUUCUCACGUGGUCCAGUGGUUAAGACUCUGAACUUCAAAUGCAGGGGCCAAGGUUUCAAUCCCUGGUCAGCGAACUAAGAUCCCAUAUGCUGUGUGCAGUGUGGCCAAGAUAACAGAAAAAGACACUGUAACCUAAAUUUCUUUACAAUUAAAGGGCAGUUUUCUCAAAUAUGAGUAUACUACUGUAUUAUUUUCAGCAUCUGAUUUAUGAUUUUAUAAAACUGAUUAAAAAUAUAAUGCAGGCUUUUCAGAUUAAGACUAAAUUUUACCUUAACUAUAACUUCCCUAGAAAAUGAAGUAGCUUUUAUAAUGGCAGUUGCUGGUGUUGAUACUUUUUGCUCUCAAACUAGAAGCAAGAAAUAUAACUAAGGCAACACUAACAAAAUACAACCUUGGAGAAAAAUAUACUUGAAAGGCGGCUGGUACAGUGACACCACCUAUGGCAGAAAGUGAAGAACUAAAGAGCCUCUUGAUGAAAGUGAAAGA